Molecule: ribosomal RNA, 871 nt
Filed under: uncultured fungus
Lineage: Eukaryota; Fungi
Description: eukaryotic LSU rRNA
Rfam family: Eukaryotic large subunit ribosomal RNA (bases 607-871)
Source: RNAcentral
GGAAGGAUCAUUAUUGAAAUAAAUCUGGUGAGUUGCUGCUGGUUCUCUAGAGAAUAUGUGCACACUUAUCAUCUUUAUAUCUCCACCUGUGCACCUUUUGUAGACCUGGAUCUCUCUCUGAAUGCUAGCCAUUCAGGAUUGAGGAUUGACUUUAUGUCUCUCCUUACAUUUUCAGGCCUAUGUUUCUUUAUAUACCCCAAUGUAUGUCAUAGAAUGUAAUCAACGGCCUUUGUGCCUAUAAACCUAUACAACUUUCAGCAACGGAUCUCUUGGCUCUCGCAUCGAUGAAAAACGCAGCGAAAUGCGAUAAGUAAUGUGAAUUGCAGAAUUCAGUGAAUCAUCGAAUCUUUGAACGCACCUUGCGCUCCUUGGUAUUCCGAGGAGCAUGCCUGUUUGAGUGUCAUUAAUAUAUCAACCUCUUCAGCUUUUGCUUGUUGAGUGUUGGAUGUGGGGGUCUUUUUUGCUGGUCUUCUCAGGUCAGCUCCCCUGAAAUGCAUUAGCGGAACAAUUUGUUGACCGUUCAUUGGUGUGAUAACUAUCUACUCUAUUGACGUGAAGCAUUUCAGCUUCUAACAGUCCAUUGACUUGGACAAAUUUUCAUUAAUGUGACCUCAAAUCAUGUAGGACUACCCGCUGAACUUAAGCAUAUCAAUAAGCGGAGGAAAAGACACUAACAAGGAUUCCCCUAGUAACUGCAAGUGAAGCGGGAAAAGCUCAAAUUUAAUAUCUGACAGUCUUCGGCUGUCCGAGUUGUAAUCUAGAGAAGUGUUAUCCGCGCUGGACCGUGUACAAGUCUCCUGGAAUGGAGCGUCAUAGAGGGUGAGAACCCCGUCUUUGACACGGACUGCCAGGGCCUUUGUGAUGCGCUCUC